Molecule: ribosomal RNA, 833 nt
Filed under: Escherichia coli
Lineage: Bacteria; Pseudomonadati; Pseudomonadota; Gammaproteobacteria; Enterobacterales; Enterobacteriaceae
Description: partial 23S ribosomal RNA
Rfam family: Bacterial large subunit ribosomal RNA
Source: RNAcentral
GGUUAAGCGACUAAGCGUACACGGUGGAUGCCCUGGCAGUCAGAGGCGAUGAAGGACGUGCUAAUCUGCGAUAAGCGUCGGUAAGGUGAUAUGAACCGUUAUAACCGGCGAUUUCCGAAUGGGGAAACCCAGUGUGUUUCGACACACUAUCAUUAACUGAAUCCAUAGGUUAAUGAGGCGAACCGGGGGAACUGAAACAUCUAAGUACCCCGAGGAAAAGAAAUCAACCGAGAUUCCCCCAGUAGCGGCGAGCGAACGGGGAGCAGCCCAGAGCCUGAAUCAGUGUGUGUGUUAGUGGAAGCGUCUGGAAAGGCGCGCGAUACAGGGUGACAGCCCCGUACACAAAAAUGCACAUACUGUGAGCUCGAUGAGUAGGGCGGGACACGUGGUAUCCUGUCUGAAUAUGGGGGGACCAUCCUCCAAGGCUAAAUACUCCUGACUGACCGAUAGUGAACCAGUACCGUGAGGGAAAGGCGAAAAGAACCCCGGCGAGGGGAGUGAAAAAGAACCUGAAACCGUGUACGUACAAGCAGUGGGAGCACGCUUCGGCGUGUGACUGCGUACCUUUUGUAUAAUGGGUCAGCGACUUAUAUUCUGUAGCAAGGUUAACCGAAUAGGGGAGCCGAAGGGAAACCGAGUCUUAACUGGGCGUUAAGUUGCAGGGUAUAGACCCGAAACCCGGUGAUCUAGCCAUGGGCAGGUUGAAGGUUGGGUAACACUAACUGGAGGACCGAACCGACUAAUGUUGAAAAAUUAGCGGAUGACUUGUGGCUGGGGGUGAAAGGCCAAUCAAACCGGGAGAUAGCUGGUUCUCCCCGAAAGCUAUUUAGGUA